AGAGUCAUCCACAAAAAGCUUCUAACUUUUUAUAAAAGCACUAACAUGUUUAUGAUUCUA
RNAcentral lists this transfer RNA (60 nucleotides) under Cautires sp. UPOL LB0176. RNAcentral's name for it is "tRNA-Ser". Lineage: Eukaryota; Metazoa; Arthropoda; Insecta; Coleoptera; Lycidae. The record is from RNAcentral.